Long non-coding RNA from Limulus polyphemus (Atlantic horseshoe crab), 850 nucleotides. RefSeq lists it as uncharacterized. NCBI's taxonomy places the organism in Eukaryota, Metazoa, Arthropoda, Merostomata, Xiphosura, Limulidae. The transcript has 4 exons. The record is from RefSeq and is a predicted model, not a curated record.
CUAAGGUUUGCCCUAAUCAACGCUAGAGAGUUAGUCUUAAUAAACAAAAGAGAAAUCAUUAGAUGUGUCAUACGUCACAAUAACUGAUAAAUAGAUUUACUAGAUGAACUGCGGAAGAAAAAGGAACAGAAAAAAUACUCGAAAUAUAUACUUCGUUUUAUUUGUAUAUCAAUAGAGUUUUAUGAGAACCAUUUCAGUUCAGACUAAGGUUGAGCUUUCUACGUAACAUAUUAAUCGAUCUCUCUCCGGACUGUCAGCAAAAGAAACCAAAAGAGUGACAUGAUCAUUUCAUUCCUCGGAUCAAGGACUUUUUACUGACGUUGUUUAACAAGUAAUGGCCGUUUUCAAGGAUAUUGUCAUUAUUGGAAAUGGACCUUCCGCUAUCUCAUUGUCCUAUCUACUGGCUGGUAACAUUCCCUACUGUUCGCAAGAGAGUCAUCCAACAGAAGUUUUGUGCCAUCGAUUACAGACGUGUUGCAACGAGCCUUUGGUAGACCAGCUAAAUAAACCUCACGUUGACUGCCUGUUUGUUUGAAGUCAGAGUGACGAAAGAAGAUCAGAUUACAUGACUAACAAGUGGACAUUAUUGAAUAUGCGACAUUAAUGUAAUUUAUAAUGACGUGAUAAUGAUUUAUAAUUAACUUGGUUACUUCCCAGCUUUGAGAUAAGUUACGUCAUCUGCAAGUGUAAAAAAUAUACUUUAACAGUUUUACAUGUGAUUUCUUAUAACAAACAUUAAUUAUAAAUACUUGAAUUUUGUGAAGUUCAUUACUUUGAUGAAAGUGUAGACAUCUAUUUUAAUUUUAAUCAAGUUAUAUUAUGUAGCAUGAUGAUCGUUUGUUGUGGCCUU